UUGGAGGGCAAGUCUGGUGCCGGCAGCCGCGGUAAUUCCAGCUCCAAUAGCGUAUAUUAAAGUUGCUGCAGUUAAAAAGCUCGUAGUUGAAUUUCGGGACCAAUAUGUCGGUCGUGCCUCGGUACGUACUGGCAUCGUUGGUUUCUCCCUUCUGACGAACCAUGAUGUCAUUUAUUUGGUGUCGUGGGGAAUCAGGACUGUUACUUUGAAAAAAUUAGAGUGUUUAAAGCAGGCUCACGCUUGAAUACAUUAGCAUGGAAUAAUGAAAUAGGACGUUUGAUUCUAUUUUGUUGGUUUCUAGGAUCGACGUAAUGAUUAAUAGGGACAGUUGGGGGCAUUAGUACUCAAUUGUCAGAGGUGAAAUUCUUGGAUUUAUUGAAGACUAACUACUGCGAAAGCAUUUGCCAAGGAUGUUUUCAUUAAUCAAGAACGAAAGUUAGGGGAUCGAAGACGAUCAGAUGCCGUCGUAGUCUUAACCAUAAACUAUGCCGACUAGGGAUCGGAUGAUGUUAAUUUUUUAAUGACUCAUUCGGCACCUUACGGGAAAC
RNAcentral lists this ribosomal RNA (548 nucleotides) under uncultured Glomus. Its description in RNAcentral is "SSU rRNA". It matches the Rfam family "Eukaryotic small subunit ribosomal RNA", at positions 548 to 1098 of the family's 1831-position model. Lineage: Eukaryota; Fungi; Glomeromycota; Glomeromycetes; Glomerales; Glomeraceae. The record is from RNAcentral.